This 440-nucleotide ribosomal RNA is filed under the name uncultured bacterium. RNAcentral's name for it is "partial 16S ribosomal RNA". It matches the Rfam family "Bacterial small subunit ribosomal RNA", at positions 338 to 795 of the family's 1533-position model. The record is from RNAcentral.
ACUACGGGUGGCAGCAGUGGGGGAUAUUGCACAAUGGGGGAAACCCUGAUGCAGCGACGCCGCGUGAGCGAUGAAGUAUUUCGGUAUGUAAAGCUCUAUCAGCAGGGAAGAAAAGGACGGUACCUGACUAAGAAGCCCCGGCUAACUACGGGCCAGCAGACGCGGUAAUACGUAGGGGGCAAGCGUUUUCCGGAUUUAGUGGGUGUAAAGGGGGCGUAGCCGGUCGUGCAAGUCUGAAGUGAAAGGCAAGGGCUCAAACCUGUGACUGCUUUUGAAACUGUGGUGCUGGAGUGUCGGAGAGGCAAGUGGAAUGCCUAGUGUAGCGGUGAAAUGCGUAGAUAUUAGGAGGAACACCAGUGGCGAAGGCGGCUUGCUGGACGAUGACUGACGUUGAGGCUCGAAAGCGUGGGGAGCAAACAGGAUUAGAUACCCGUGUAGUC